UAGUCCACGCCGUAAACGAUGGACACUAGUUGUUGGGGUUUACCUCAGUGACUAAGCGAAAGUGAUAAGUGUCCCACCUGGGGAGUACGAUCGCAAGAUUGAAACUCAAAGGAAUUGACGGGGGCCCGCACAAGCGGUGGAGCAUGUGGUUUAAUUCGAUGAUACGCGAGGAACCUUACCAGGGCUUAAAUGUAGUAUGACAGGACUAGAGAUAGUUUUUCUCGGACAUAUUACAAGGUGCUGCAUGGUUGUCGUCAGCUCGUGCCGUGAGGUGUCAGGUUAAGUCCUAUAACGAGCGCAACCCUUGUCGUUAGUUGCCAGCAUGUAAAGAUGGGGACUCUAACGAGACUGCCGGUGCAAACCGUGAGGAAGGUGGGGAUGACGUCAAAUCAUCACGGCCCUUACGUCCUGGGGCCACACACGUGCUACAAUGGGUAGGUACAGAGAGCAGCCACGUCGCGAGGCGGAGCGAAUCUAUAAAACCU
RNAcentral lists this ribosomal RNA (485 nucleotides) under uncultured bacterium. Its description in RNAcentral is "bacterial SSU rRNA". It matches the Rfam family "Bacterial small subunit ribosomal RNA", at positions 791 to 1283 of the family's 1533-position model. The record is from RNAcentral.